GUGCCAGCAGCCGCGGUAAGACAGAGGGUGCAAACGCUGUUCGGAAUUACUGGGCGUAAAGCGUGUGUAGGCGGCCAUGCAAGUCGGAUGUGAAAGCCCCGGGCUCAACUCGGGAAGUGCACCCGAAACUGCAUGGCUUGAGUAUCGGAGAGGUUGGUGGAAUUCUCGGUGUAGAGGUGAAAUUCGUAGAUAUCGAGAGGAACACCGGUGGCGAAGGCGGCCAACUGGACGAAUACUGACGCUGAGACACGAAAGCGUGGGGAGCAAACAGGAUUAGAAACCCUGGUAGUCC
RNAcentral lists this ribosomal RNA (292 nucleotides) under uncultured bacterium. RNAcentral's name for it is "partial 16S ribosomal RNA". It matches the Rfam family "Bacterial small subunit ribosomal RNA", at positions 505 to 796 of the family's 1533-position model. The record is from RNAcentral.